AGGGCACUUGAAAGACGUCUCAUACUCAAGUGGUCUCUCCUCUUCCCAUACACACCUUACGGAUUCUUCACAGGGUGUGAUGAUGGGAAGCCUAGACACGCUUAUCAGAAGUUUGUCCUCUUAUCGGGAUACGUCAGAAAUUAGAGAGACCCUGGCAAUCACAGCUUCCACCUCCUCAUUUUACAAAUGAGCAACUAGGCUCAGAGUACAGAAGUGGCUUUCCCAGGGUCACACAGCCAGCUUGUGACAGAGUCAGGAUUCAAGUACCAUCUCCUGACUUCUCCAUUGCACCAGACGUCGAUAGAACACAGAGAACCUAAAAGAAGAAAGAAAAAAAAAUAGAGCUUUUGGGAAUAUAUUGGGCUUCUGGUUUUCAAGGACAAUUUUAUGAUAAGUAGCAAUGAUGCCUCAAAAGCUCUGGUAGCUAGCUUGAAUGAACUUAUGUAAUAAACAUUUAUCACAGAACAUGUGUCAUCAAACACCUGCCAGUUCUGAGCGUUGGCACCAAAGCUGCUUUCAUUGUCAAAGAAAAGAGGGGGAAAGGAACUUGGCUGAACAAAGCUGGCAGACGUUUAUACUAGAAAAUUUAGAGGUAAUUUCUAGAGGAACAGAAACACAUUUUCAAAGUCUUAUAAAAUUUAUUUAAAUGUGAUUGGGUGAAUUUAGCAGUUAAAGAAGUGAAGAACACUGAGGUCCAAUUGGUGCCUGAGGCUUCUUCCAGGACCCAGUCUUUUCUGUCUGCCUUGGGCACAGAUUUCUAGAUGCCUGAAGAUGGACAGGCCCAGAGGUUGCCCAGAGUGAUGUCUGAGAUUACUGAUCUCUAUCUAGGCUUCCAUAGAAACACAUCCCAAAACGUUCUUGGUUCUUAUUGGAAUCUCAUCUCAUUUGCAGAACAUGGCCAGAGUCAAAGAGACAUGGACCAUGUGUCACUCAGACUGAGUCCAUCCAUACAAAGAGAAUUCUCUAGCCUGUAUUGGAAGUCAAUCUACAUCAGCAUGACAGGGCAUGUAGCCGAAUACGUGGCCACUUCCCUUUGGCUACCCACACAUUUUUGAACUGCAAGAUCUGUUCUUUAUCUACUCAUCUAAUGGUUAUUACUGGGAGAGCACUGGACUAUAAAUUCUGUUGCACUUGCAGGUGUAAUGAGCUCUUUGAACCUCAGUUUCCUCACCCAUCAGAUACUAUUCAUUAUCUGCCUUGCGGACAACACCUAGUUGUUGGGAACAUUGCAUGAAUGGCAGGUGGAGGUGCUUUGUAAACGCUAAAGCCUGCCAUGAAUGUGAAGGAGUGUUGCUACUCUUCUGUGCCCAACAAUGUGCUAGCACCAAGGGAGUUCAAAAGAAAUGUGAGACAUGGUCCCUACCCUCCAGGAACUUACAACUCAUUGUUGGGAGACCAAGACACAUCCCCUAAAAACAGAUAUGUAACACCUCAAGUCUGUGAAGUACUUACUAUUUAAAUGAUGCCCAGAGCCUCUGAAUCCCCUAGAAGUACAGAGGAGGGGGAGAUCAUUAAUGGUGUGGAGAAGUUGGAGGAGGUGAGACGAUGCCAGGUGAUAAAGUAGACAGAGAAGAUGAAGGUCUUUUUUUUGAGACAGGGUCUCACCCUGUUGCCCAGGCUGGAGUGCAGUGGCAUGAUCGGCCCACUGCAACCUCCACCUCCUAGGUUCAAGCAAUUCUCGUGCCUCGACUUCCUGACAUAGCUGGGACUACAGGCGCACACCGCCACACCCGGCUAAUUUUUGUAUUUUUAGUAGAGACAGGGUUUCACCAUGUGGGCCAUGCUGGUCUCGAACUCCUGACCUCAAGCAAUCCACCCACCUCAGCCUCCCAAAGUUCCGGGAUUACAGAUGUGAGCCACUGUGCCCUGGCCUGAAGAAGGUCUUUAUGGGUACGGCAUGACUGCUGGAGAGUUUUGUCACCGCUGCUUAAGGAAGAGCUUCCCAAUGUUGGAUAUAUGUCAGGAGCAAGGGAGCACCAGUGGUAGAAGAACCUGCCUCCCCUGGCUCCAUCAAAGGCCACAGGCCCAUGAGAAUCACCCGGCCUGCUCUGAGCAGCACACUCGGAGGCCACAGCCACGCACAGGAAAGUGAGAGGAAGUGGAAACGUGCGAGCAGAGGGCUCAAAGCGACGGGCUCACCACCGGAAAAAAAAAAUAAAAAUAAACACGCUCAGAAAUAGUGUAACUGAUAUGCAAAGAAGAUCAAAACAAGGGUUUUAAAAUAUCUUGGCUGCUUUAGAGGAGAUGGGGGUGGUAAUUAAAGCGAGGUUGCAAAUGCGUGUUAGGGGAGUGGGGCGGUUAGGUGGAUGGUUCACUGAAGCCUGCCAGGACAUGGGAGCCUGGGAGCCCAAGGGUAUUUCAGAUGAAAAUGUGGCACUUAUAUGUGGAAUGUAAAAGAAAGUUGAACUCAUAGAAGCAGAGAAUAAAAUGGUUAUUCUCAGAGGCUGCCAGGUGGUGGGACUGGGGAGAUGUUGGUCAAAGGACACAUUUUAAUAAAUUCAAGAGAUUCAUUGCCCAUCACGGUGACUAUAGUUAACAUCAAUACAUUUUAUAUUG
Molecule: long non-coding RNA, 2556 nt
Filed under: Homo sapiens (human)
Lineage: Eukaryota; Metazoa; Chordata; Mammalia; Primates; Hominidae
Description: HSALNT0066051
Source: RNAcentral